Molecule: ribosomal RNA, 492 nt
Filed under: uncultured bacterium
Lineage: Bacteria
Description: partial 16S ribosomal RNA
Rfam family: Bacterial small subunit ribosomal RNA
Source: RNAcentral
AGUGAACGCUGGCGGUAGGCCUAACACAUGCAAGUCGAACGGCAGCACAGUAAGAGCUUGCUCUUACGGGUGGCGAGUGGCGGACGGGUGAGGAAUACAGCGGAAUCUACGUUUGCGUGGGGGAUAACGUAGGGAAACUUACGCUAAUACCGCAUACGACCUACGGGUGAAAGCAGGGGAUCUUCGGACCUUGCGCGAUUGAAUGAGCCGAUGUCGGAUUAGCUAGUUGGCGGGGUAAAGGCCCACCAAGGCGACGAUCCGUAGCUGGUCUGAGAGGAUGAUCAGCCACACUGGAACUGAGACACGGUCCAGACUCCUACGGGAGGCAGCAGUGGGGAAUAUUGGACAAUGGGCGCAAGCCUGAUCCAGCCAUACCGCGUGGGUGAAGAAGGCCUUCGGGUUGUAAAGCACUUUUGUUGGGAAAGAAAAGCAGAAGGUUAAUACCCCGCUGUUCUGACGGUACCCAAAGAAUAAGCACCGGCUAACUUCGUG